GACGAACGCUGGCGGCGUGCUUAACACAUGCAAGUCGAACGGAAAGGCCCUGCUUUUUGGGUGUGCUCGAGUGGCGAACGGGUGAGUAACACGUGAGUAACCUGCCCUUGACUUUGGGAUAACUUCCGGUAACUGGGGCUUGUACCUGAUAGGAGCUCCUUCUUCUCGGUGGGGGUUGGAAAUUUUCGGUGGUUUGGGAUGGUGUCGCGGCUUUUCAGCUUGUUGGUGGGGUAGUGGCUUACCAAGGCUUUGACGGGUAGCCGGCCUGGGAGGGUGACCGGCCACAUUGGGACUGAGAUACGGCCCAGACUCCUACUGGAGGCAGCAGCGGAAGAUAGUGCACAAUGGGCGGAAGCAUGAUGCAGCAACGCCGCGUGCGGGAUGACGGCCUUCGGGUUGUAAACCGCUUUCGCCUGUGACGAAGAGGGAGUGACGGUAACGGGUAAAGAAGCACCGGCUAACUACGUG
RNAcentral lists this ribosomal RNA (468 nucleotides) under uncultured bacterium. RNAcentral describes it as "partial 16S ribosomal RNA". It matches the Rfam family "Bacterial small subunit ribosomal RNA", at positions 28 to 507 of the family's 1533-position model. The record is from RNAcentral.